This 300-nucleotide ribosomal RNA is filed under the name uncultured Desulfitobacterium sp. RNAcentral's name for it is "partial 16S ribosomal RNA". The stretch from base 67 to 300 matches the Rfam family "Bacterial small subunit ribosomal RNA", at positions 563 to 795 of the family's 1533-position model. Lineage: Bacteria; Bacillati; Bacillota; Clostridia; Eubacteriales; Desulfitobacteriaceae. The record is from RNAcentral.
GUGAGUUUGGUGUGGGGUGGGGGGGUAAUCGGGAGGUGGUGAGCGUUGGUUUGAUGUACGGGGGGGAAGGGGGUGGAAGGCGGAUUAUUAAGGCAGAUGGUAAAUCUCGGGGCUCAACCCCGAAAUUGCGUUUGGAACUGUUAGUCUAGAGUGAUGGAGGGGAGAGUGGAAUUUCGCAUGUAGGGGUAAAAUCCGUAGAGAUGCGGAGGAACACCAGAGCCGAAGGGGGCGUUCUGGGCAUCAACUGACGCUGAGGCGCGAAAGCGUGGGGAGCAAACAGGAUUAGAUACCCUGGUAGUC